GAGAGCUACUGACCUAGCAGUAAGCGUGAACAGCUCAUGGCAAGUGGCGAAGCGGAGCUCCGGGAGCUGCAGGCAGACCUCUGCCAUUCUGCCUCUCUCCUCCUACUACUCCUCCUCUCCCGCUCUCUUUUUCCUUCCCCUCUGUAGCUGCUAAGCUUUCCCCAGACCUCUUGGCUUUGUUGUGCUGCACGUCUGAGCAGGAGGAGGGGGCUUGGCUCGGGGAGCGCUUCCCCGCAGCUCACGCCAAGGCGCCCAGCGCGCCGCGGUCGGGAGAAGCGAGCGAGGCGGAUGCAGGCGGAGAAGCGCGGCUGAAGGCUGGCCCCAGCGCCGGAGGGGACAGAGCCGCCCGGCGCUCCGCAGCUCCGGCACCCACCCCGCCAUGGAGUGCUGCCGCUGGACAGCCGCUGGCACCCUGCUUCUAGCUUCCCUCGUCCUGAUUCAUAGGGCUGCAAAAGAAUCAUAAAAGAAGGUGUGACAUAGAACACUGUGGAGAGUCUGAAGAUUGGAAUGUGGUCACCUGUAGUCAUGGAUCUGUCAGCUGGACAACCUUCAAUGUUCAGGAGGUUCAUGAGUCAAUGUAAAGUCUGAGAAGGCCACGUGACCUGACAAAUAAUUCGUUAGAAGAGGAGUAUCAAUCUCUGCAUGACUAAAUUUUCACUGAAGCAAAUAAAAAAUUAAUCCCUUAUAACUGUG
Pyrgilauda ruficollis (rufous-necked snowfinch) is the source of this 693-nucleotide long non-coding RNA. RefSeq lists it as uncharacterized. The transcript is spliced from 2 exons. The record is from RefSeq and is a predicted model, not a curated record. Lineage: Eukaryota; Metazoa; Chordata; Aves; Passeriformes; Passeridae.